Molecule: ribosomal RNA, 531 nt
Filed under: uncultured bacterium
Lineage: Bacteria
Description: bacterial SSU rRNA
Rfam family: Bacterial small subunit ribosomal RNA
Source: RNAcentral
CCUUGACAUACUAAGAACUUUCCAGAGAGUGGAUUGGUGCCUUCGGGAACUUAGAUACAGGUGCUGCAUGGCUGUCGUCAGCUCGUGUCGUGAGAUGUUGGGUUAAGUCCGCAACGAGCGCAACCCUUUUCCUUAUUUGCCAGCGGGUAAUGCCGGGAACUUUAAGGAUACUGCCAGUGACAAACUGGAGGAAGGCGGGGACGACGUCAAGUCAUCAUGGCCCUUACGGCCAGGGCUACACACGUGCUACAAUGGUCGGUACAAAGGGUUGCUACCUCGCGAGAGGAUGCUAAUCUCAAAAAGCCGAUCGUAGUCCGGAUCGCAGUCUGCAACUCGACUGCGUGAAGUCGGAAUCGCUAGUAAUCGCGGAUCAGAAUGCCGCGGUGAAUACGUUCCCGGGCCUUGUACACACCGCCCGUCACACCAUGGGAGUUUGUUGCACCAGAAGUAGGUAGUCUAACCGCAAGGAGGACGCUUACCACGGUGUGGCCGAUGACUGGGGUGAAGUCGUAACAAGGUAGGCGUAGAUGA